Small nuclear RNA from Heterocephalus glaber (naked mole-rat), 160 nucleotides. Its record names the gene U1. It matches the Rfam family "U1 spliceosomal RNA". Rfam says of the family: U1 is a small nuclear RNA (snRNA) component of the spliceosome (involved in pre-mRNA splicing). Its 5' end forms complementary base pairs with the 5' splice junction, thus defining the 5' donor site of an intron. There are significant differences in sequence and secondary structure between metazoan and yeast U1 snRNAs, the latter being much longer (568 nucleotides as compared to 164 nucleotides in human). NCBI's taxonomy places the organism in Eukaryota, Metazoa, Chordata, Mammalia, Rodentia, Bathyergidae. The record is from Ensembl.
AUACUUACCUGCCAGGGGAGAUACCAUGAUCACAAAGGUGGUUUUUCCAGGUGCUUAUCCAUUGCACUCCAGAUGUGCUGACCCCUGUGAUUUCCCCAAAUGUGGGAAAAUUGACCACAUAAUUUGUGGUAAUGGGGAACUGCGUUCACGCUUUCCCCUA